UGUUCCUAAUUUUUUUACCAUUAUAAGAAACACUGAAGUGAAUAUUCUUAUGUAUACAACUAUGAAAGCAUGUCCAUGUCAUUAUUUGCUGUUUAAAUUUUACCUGGGGCCAUUAUCUCUAGAUUUGCUUGAAAUGCUCAGCUUGACUCCCUAUCUUGAGACAAAACUACUAGAAAAAUGAAUUUGUAAAGCAAAUUAAUAUAUUUAACAUAGAGUUUCUUCAGCAAUAUGCUGUAAAGGCAGGGUGGUGGUGGUACACAGGUUGCACUGGAUUUUUUUUUAAUGGCACAUUUUUAAAACUACUGCUCAUUUUAUGCUUGAUAUAGAUUUGGCGUUUACCUUUUCCUAACAUAUAGGCAAGCAGUAGUUAUUGCUUUGUUGGUAAAAGUUGGCGUUAUUUCUGAAAAGCAUACGUGGGAAUGGCAAACUGUAGAAGCUGUGGCCACCGGACUCCAGGAUUUUAUUAUCUGUAUUGAGAUGUUCCUCGCUGCCAUUGCUCAUCAUUACACAUUCUCAUAUAAACCAUAUGUCCAAGAAGCAGAAGAGGGCUCAUGCUUUGAUUCCUUUCUUGCCAUGUGGGAUGUCUCAGAUAUUAGAGAUGAUAUUUCUGAACAAGUAAGGCAUGUUGGACGGACAGU
This 638-nucleotide small RNA is filed under the name Pan troglodytes (chimpanzee). RNAcentral describes it as "retained intron". Lineage: Eukaryota; Metazoa; Chordata; Mammalia; Primates; Hominidae. The record is from RNAcentral.